Molecule: long non-coding RNA, 284 nt
Organism: Gallus gallus (chicken)
Lineage: Eukaryota; Metazoa; Chordata; Aves; Galliformes; Phasianidae
Source: Ensembl
CUUAAGUGCCAGACAGUUCCCUGAGCAGCAGUCCCUAUGAGAAUCACACCAAGCGACAGCAGUGUCCAGCAAACUGCUGGAUCAGAGUUCAGCACAGCAUCAGCUCUGGGCUCCGUAGGGAUAUCCUUUUAUCCCUGCGUGAGGCUCGUCUUCUUUCUGUGAGACUCUAGUAGCUUCAGCCACCUCCAGGAGGAAAAACACAAUACUCCAGGAGUGUAUUUAUUAAGUUCAAUAAAGCUAAUUAAGAAAAACAGCCCAGAAAAUAAUACAGUUUUCAGUUCCAU